CCUCACAAGUUAUAGGGCAUUCUUCCUAGUACCUGGGAGAAGGCUUGGGUCAGCCAGACUGUAGAAUGUCUUUGAGAAAGUUGUAUAAUCUAAGACUCAGUUUCCUUAUCCUUGAAAAUGGGUACAAUAUUACUUCACAUUGCUUGAGGAAACUCAAAAGCCAGGUAAUCCUUGAAUUCUGUACUGUAGAUAUCUGAAAAAAAAAACUGGGAUACUGACUUGGUGUCAUGCUUGGCAUAUAUCAGGCUCCUGGCCAUGUUUCGAUGCUUCCUAUGUAGUGGGCAGCCCAGGUAGUGUGCAGGCUACCUGGGGAAGUCACGGCAGGAGGGAGUUGAGGCAGCUGGUCCAUUGCAUCCACCUUCAGGAAGCAGAGGGGGAUGAAUGUUGGCACUCAGCUUGCUUUCUCCUUUUCAUGUGGUCCAGGAUUCAGUGCAUGAACCAGUGGUGGAUUCUUUUACCUCAAUGAACCUAAUCAAGACAAUCAGAGGUGUGCCCAGAGGCUAACCUUAUCUAAAUAAUCCCUCAUAGGGGUGUGUGUGUGUGUGUGUGUGUGUGUGUGUGUGUGAAGGCUUGUCCCCUAGCUGAGUCCAGAGCCUGUCAAGUUGACAAUGAACUCCAACCCCCAUGGGACAGCCACACAGCUCACAGUAGGGUCUGAGAAGGGCAGGGACAGAGGUCUUCAGGAAUGUCACAAACUGUCACUUAGAGUAGGAGUGAAGAGCAUCUCCUUUGGACCCGGCAGGGCAGAUUUUACACGGCAAACCCACUUCAGCAUUCCAGUGUCCCGAGCUUUAAAAUUUCUUCAUCAGAGUUAAGUCAAAAGAAAGUAGACAUCUCCAGUUCACUCACAGGAGGUCAACUUUAAAAAAUAGUUUAUUUUAUUUAUUUGUUUUUGAAAGAUUUUUUAAAAAAUUAUUUCACCCUCCUGUAUGUCUGUGCCUCACAUGCAUGCAGUACCUUUGAAGGCCAGACGAAGGCAACGGAUCCCCUGAAACUGGAGUUACAGGUGGUCGUGAGCCCCAUGAGGGUACUAGGAAUCAAACUCAGGUCCUCUGCAAGAGCAGCCAGUGCGCUU
This 1075-nucleotide long non-coding RNA is filed under the name Mus musculus (house mouse). Its description in RNAcentral is "long non-coding RNA chr14:55127316-55128391". The record is from RNAcentral. Lineage: Eukaryota; Metazoa; Chordata; Mammalia; Rodentia; Muridae.